This 117-nucleotide ribosomal RNA is filed under the name Thermoproteota archaeon. RNAcentral's name for it is "partial 16S ribosomal RNA". It matches the Rfam family "Archaeal small subunit ribosomal RNA", at positions 1 to 122 of the family's 1478-position model. Lineage: Archaea; Thermoproteati; Thermoproteota. The record is from RNAcentral.
ACUCCGGUUGAUCCUGCCGGACCCGACUGCUAUCAGAGUGGGACUAAGCCAUGCGAGUCGACACAGCAAUGUGUGGCAUACGGCUCAGUAACACGUAGUCAACAUGCCCAGGGGACG